Pollicipes pollicipes is the source of this 382-nucleotide long non-coding RNA. RefSeq lists it as uncharacterized. The transcript is spliced from 4 exons. The record is from RefSeq and is a predicted model, not a curated record. NCBI's taxonomy places the organism in Eukaryota, Metazoa, Arthropoda, Thecostraca, Pollicipedomorpha, Pollicipedidae.
CUGAGCGCGUUUGUUUGUCCUUGGCUGUGUGCCGUGAGGGGGCCGUGAGUUGGGUGGGGUGAAAUGGAACAGCACCUCCAUCGGGCAGGUGGCAAGCCGCGGCAAGAUCAAAGCGAACGACUGCAGACGGAGUCACGGGCGCCGACUUCGGCCGGUGUAGGGGAUUGGCGCCCUCUCGGGUCCCAGCUCCGGUAACAGGCGGACAGCGUAAGCCGUUCCUCUCAGUGCGUAGCGACUCUGCCGAUGGCAGCAGUGCUGCUGCUGUGUGCGGCAUUGGGUUGCGCCGGCCUGGAGAAGAGAGAUCCGCGCUUCUUCAAGCUAAUGUUCUAUGAGAAUACUGCUGGCUUGUCGUGUCCUGCACAGCUGAAUGGCUGCGCCCUGG